AUUUUUGCUUCAGCAGAACAUAUGCUAAAAUUGUAACAAUGCAGAGAUUAGUAUGGCCCCUAUACAAGGAUGACAUGCAAGGUUUGAAGUGUUAAAUAUUUUU
Molecule: small nuclear RNA, 103 nt
Organism: Myotis lucifugus (little brown bat)
Lineage: Eukaryota; Metazoa; Chordata; Mammalia; Chiroptera; Vespertilionidae
Source: Ensembl